GGGCAGGUGGCUGAUAAAAGUGGUAGAUUGUAAAUCUAUAAAUGAGGUUGUUCUCUCUGCUUA
This 63-nucleotide transfer RNA is filed under the name Macrobrachium lanchesteri. RNAcentral describes it as "tRNA-Tyr". It matches the Rfam family "tRNA". From Rfam's summary of the family: Transfer RNA (tRNA) molecules are approximately 80 nucleotides in length. The record is from RNAcentral. Lineage: Eukaryota; Metazoa; Arthropoda; Malacostraca; Decapoda; Palaemonidae.